GAUGAACGCUGGCGGCGUGCCUAAUACAUGCAAGUCGAGCGAACAGAUGAGGAGCUUGCUCCUCUGACGUUAGCGGCGGACGGGUGAGUAACACGUGGAUAACCUACCUAUAAGACUGGGAUAACUUCGGGAAACCGGAGCUAAUACCGGAUAAUAUAUUGAACCGCAUGGUUCAAUAGUGAAAGACGGUUUUGCUGUCACUUAUAGAUGGAUCCGCGCCGCAUUAGCUAGUUGGUAAGGUAACGGCUUACCAAGGCAACGAUGCGUAGCCGACCUGAGAGGGUGAUCGGCCACACUGGAACUGAGACACGGUCCAGACUCCUACGGAAGGCAGCAGUAGGGAAGCUUCCGCAAUGGGCGAAAGCCUGACGGAGCAACGCCGCGUGAGUGAUGAAGGUCUUCGGAUCGUAAAACUCUGUUAUUAGGGAAGAACAAAUGUGUAAGUAACUAUGCACGUCUUGACGGUACCUAAUCAGAAAGCCACGGCUAACUACGUG
RNAcentral lists this ribosomal RNA (497 nucleotides) under uncultured bacterium. Its description in RNAcentral is "partial 16S ribosomal RNA". It matches the Rfam family "Bacterial small subunit ribosomal RNA", at positions 28 to 507 of the family's 1533-position model. The record is from RNAcentral.